GACGAACGCUGGCGGCGUGCCUAACACAUGCAAGUCGAACGAAGCUUGAUUUUUGAUUUUUUCGGAAUGACGAAUGAUAUGACUGAGUGGCGGACGGGUGAGUAACGCGUGAGCAACCUGCCCUUCGGAACGGGAUAGUGUCUGGAAACGGACAGUAAUACCGUAUAACAUAUAUUGAUCGCAUGGUCGAUAUAUCAAAACUGAGGUGCCGAAGGAUGGGCUCGCGUCUGAUUAGAUAGUUGGUGGGGUAACGGCCUACCAAGUCGACGAUCAGUAGCCGGACUGAGAGGUUGAACGGCCACAUUGGGACUGAGACACGGCCCAGACUCCUACGGGAGGCAGCAGUGGGGAAUAUUGCACAAUGGGGGAAACCCUGAUGCAGCAACGCCGCGUGAAGGAAGACGGUUUUCGGAUUGUAAACUUCUGUUCUUAGUGAAGAAUAAUGACGGU
This 450-nucleotide ribosomal RNA is filed under the name uncultured bacterium. RNAcentral describes it as "bacterial SSU rRNA". It matches the Rfam family "Bacterial small subunit ribosomal RNA", at positions 28 to 476 of the family's 1533-position model. The record is from RNAcentral.